This 506-nucleotide ribosomal RNA is filed under the name uncultured bacterium. RNAcentral describes it as "partial 16S ribosomal RNA". It matches the Rfam family "Bacterial small subunit ribosomal RNA", at positions 30 to 523 of the family's 1533-position model. The record is from RNAcentral.
AUUGAACGCUGGCGGCAGGCCUAACACAUGCAAGUCGAACGGUAACAGAAAGCAGCUUGCUGCUUUGCUGACGAGUGGCGGACGGGUGAGUAAUGUCUGGGAAACUGCCUGAUGGAGGGGGAUAACUACUGGAAACGGUAGCUAAUACCGCAUAACGUCGCAAGACCAAAGAGGGGGACCUUCGGGCCUCUUGCCAUCGGAUGGGCCCAGAUGGGAUUAGCUAGUAGGUGGGGUAAUGGCUCACCUAGGCGACGAUCCCUAGCUGGUCUGAGAGGAUGACCAGCCACACUGGAACUGAGACACGGUCCAGACUCCUACGGGAGGCAGCAGUGGGGAAUAUUGCACAAUGGGCGCAAGCCUGAUGCAGCCAUGCCGCGUGUAUGAAGAAGGCCUUCGGGUUGUAAAGUACUUUCAGCGAGGAGGAAGGUGUUGUGGUUAAUAACCACAGCAAUUGACGUUACUCGCAGAAGAAGCACCGGCUAACUCCGUGCCAGCAGCCGCCGUAA